Molecule: ribosomal RNA, 266 nt
Filed under: uncultured archaeon
Lineage: Archaea
Description: partial 16S ribosomal RNA
Rfam family: Archaeal small subunit ribosomal RNA
Source: RNAcentral
ACAGUCACACAUUAGAUACCCCCUGUAGCCCUAGCCGUAAACGAUACUCGCUAGGUGUCGGCCACGGUGCGACCGUUGUCGGUGCCGUAGGGAAGCCGUGAAGCGAGCCACCUGGGAAGUACGGCCGCAAGGCUGAAACUUAAAGGAAUUGGCGGGGGAGCACCACAACGGGUGGAGCUUGCGGUUUAAUUGGAUUCAACGCCGGAAAUCUUACCGGGACCGACAGCGAUAUGAAGGCCAGGCUGAAGACUUUGCCGGAUUAGCUG